AACGAACGCUGGCGGCAUGCCUAACACAUGCAAGUCGAACGAGACCUUCGGGUCUAGUGGCGCACGGGUGCGUAACGCGUGGGAACCUACCCUUAGGUUCGGAAUAACUCCCCGAAAGGGGUGCUAAUACCGGAUAAUGUCUUCGGACCAAAGAUUUAUCGCCUUUGGAUGGGCCCGCGUUGGAUUAGCUAGUUGGUAGGGUAAAAGCCUACCAAGGCGACGAUCCAUAGCUGGUCUGAGAGGAUGAUCAGCCACACUGGGACUGAGACACGGCCCAGACUCCUACGGGAGGCAGCAGUGGGGAAUAUUGGACAAUGGGCGAAAGCCUGAUCCAGCAAUGCCGCGUGAGUGAUGAAGGCCUUAGGGUUGUAAAGCUCUUUUACCCGGGAUGAUAAUGACAGUACCGGGAGAAUAAGCUCCGGCUAACUCCGU
This 432-nucleotide ribosomal RNA is filed under the name uncultured bacterium. RNAcentral's name for it is "partial 16S ribosomal RNA". It matches the Rfam family "Bacterial small subunit ribosomal RNA", at positions 29 to 506 of the family's 1533-position model. The record is from RNAcentral.